Molecule: non-coding RNA, 836 nt
Organism: Drosophila melanogaster (fruit fly)
Lineage: Eukaryota; Metazoa; Arthropoda; Insecta; Diptera; Drosophilidae
Source: Ensembl
AUUGCAUAGAUAUUAAAAAAAAACAUUUAUUGCCUUAAAAUUUUCUGUUCUCUGUAUAGAGAUCCAGGAAGGAACUAAACGCGGAAAAUAUAUUCAGCAAUUGUUUGUCGCGCAGCGCACCAAAUACAAAAAUACUUCAGCGCGAAGAUACGGAUACACCAUCAUUCAUCGCUUACGUUAGCUUCGCCGCCCGUUACGCCCCUUUCCCUGGUUUUCCCAUCUGAAUUUUCCCGACUGCCUCUGCCGUUGUCCUUUCGCUCCUGCGCUGCUGGCACUGCAGACAAAUGGCAAAAACUGUCGCUCAUUCGCAUAAAUCCUGACGAAUGAUUUCAACGCGCUGGUGAAAUGGCUGUGGGUGUUGAACGCGAAAAAGGGGGUGAACGGCGCCGUGAGGAGUUCCACAACAAAAGCAAUUAUAUGUGCGAAUCACUUUACGAGGGUCCCACAACUCCCACCCACUUUCCUCCCUCCACCCAUCGACUGCAGCGGAAAACUCAACAAAGGCGAAAAAACAAAGGACAUUGCAAAGCGGGUAAAACAAGGAAUGGCAACAAGCGAACAACAACAGUUCAAAUGACAAAGAAAUAGCCAACUCAAUAAAAGCAACAAGAUCUGAGAAAAAACAGAAGCCAUCCGCACUUUGCAAGCCACCCACACGCUGGAUCGUAAAAUGGGGAAACGCAGCGAAAAUCAAACGAUUGUCAAUGCGAAAAUAAAUCGCAUUCUUUCAUUUUCGUUAUUUUGCCAGCACUCGAACCCUGUCAUUCCUCCCCAAGGACAACAGCUGCCAUAAAAGCAACUUUCAUCCUGGCAUCCUUGAUGAGACGUGAGGCAGU